UACGUAGGGGGCAAGCGUUGUCCGGAUUCAUUGGGCGUAAAGCGCGGGCAGGCGGCCCGCUCAGUCGGCCGUGAAAGCGCCGGGCUCAACUCGGCGAGGUCGGGCGAUACUGGCGGGCUCGAGGCUGGUAGAGGGCGGUGGAAUUCCGGGUGUAGUGGUGGAAUGCGUAGAGCUCCGGAGGAACACCAGUGGCGAAGGCGGCCGCCUGGGCCAGUCCUGACGCUGAGGCGCGAAAGCUAGGGGAG
RNAcentral lists this ribosomal RNA (245 nucleotides) under uncultured bacterium. Its description in RNAcentral is "partial 16S ribosomal RNA". It matches the Rfam family "Bacterial small subunit ribosomal RNA", at positions 524 to 768 of the family's 1533-position model. The record is from RNAcentral.